Taeniopygia guttata (zebra finch) is the source of this 696-nucleotide non-coding RNA. NCBI's taxonomy places the organism in Eukaryota, Metazoa, Chordata, Aves, Passeriformes, Estrildidae. The record is from RefSeq and is a predicted model, not a curated record.
GCCCGACAUUGGCUGGAAACUGGAGCAGCGCGGCGGGGACGGUCGAUGCCGAUCGAUCGCGGCGCGGGCGGCACCGCACGGCACGGCACCGCACGGCUCCGCACGGCACCGGCACCGCGGUGUCCCCGCCGGGGCUGCGCGGCCCCCCGGGACCGGCACCGGGCAGGGGGUGAAGCCAGCGCCGCAUUUGCAGGGCCAGGGAUGCGGUGAUGGGGUACAGCGGCGGACACGGACACAGCAUCAGCAUCUCUCCUGCCCCGGGCUGGGGAUCCGCCGGAAUCCUGCGCUGCGGGAUGCCCGGUCCCUGCUGGAGCACGGAGAGCUGCUUUUUGCCGAGUUUGCCGUUAAUUAAUGGCAGAAGGAGCUGACGGGGCGGCUCGGCAGCGCUCAGGAAGGGGGUCAGCCCUGGAGCUGGCACUUCUGCACGGAUAUCCCCUGCCCACAGCGUCUGAAGUCGCACCAAAGUUUCGCCAGGUUUUGCUCUUGUUUGACAGUGAUUUCAAUAAUAAUGCUGGAGGGUCCUGUGGCGGCAGGAGUCCCGAGGAGCUGAGCAUCCCCUGGGGAGGGGCGGAGUGGGGGGCGGCAUGUAAAUCCAGGAGAUUGUGAAGAUUUGGUAAGAAAAAAAAAACAAAACAAACAAAAAAAAAAAACCACCAAAAAAAACGGCUGAAUAAAAUGCGAAACCGUGCUCCUGGA